UUUAUGGAGAGUUUGAUCCUGGCUCAGGAUGAACGCUGGCGGCGUGCCUAAUACAUGCAAGUCGAGCGAACGGACGAGAAGCUUGCUUCUCUGAUGUUAGCGGCGGACGGGUGAGUAACACGUGGAUAACCUACCUAUAAGACUGGGAUAACUUCGGGAAACCGGAGCUAAUACCGGAUAAUAUUUUGAACCGCAUGGUUCAAAAGUGAAAGACGGUCUUGCUGUCACUUAUAGAUGGAUCCGCGCUGCAUUAGCUAGUUGGUAAGGUAACGGCUUACCAAGGCAACGAUGCAUAGCCGACCUGAGAGGGUGAUCGGCCACACUGGAACUGAGACACGGUCCAGACUCCUACGGGAGGCAGCAGUAGGGAAUCUUCCGCAAUGGGCGAAAGCCUGACGGAGCAACGCCGCGUGAGUGAUGAAGGUCUUCGGAUCGUAAAACUCUGUUAUUAGGGAAGAACAUAUGUGUAAGUAACUGUGCACAUCUUGACGGUACCUAAUCAGAAAGCCACGGCUAACUACGUGCCAGCAGCCGCGGUAAUACGUAGGUGGCAAGCGUUAUCCGGAAUUAUUGGGCGUAAAGCGCGCGUAGGCGGUUUUUUAAGUCUGAUGUGAAAGCCCACGGCUCAACCGUGGAGGGUCAUUGGAAACUGGAAAACUUGAGUGCAGAAGAGGAAAGUGGAAUUCCAUGUGUAGCGGUGAAAUGCGCAGAGAUAUGGAGGAACACCAGUGGCGAAGGCGACUUUCUGGUCUGUAACUGACGCUGAUGUGCGAAAGCGUGGGGAUCAAACAGGAUUAGAUACCCUGGUAGUCCACGCCGUAAACGAUGAGUGCUAAGUGUUAGGGGGUUUCCGCCCCUUAGUGCUGCAGCUAACGCAUUAAGCACUCCGCCUGGGGAGUACGACCGCAAGGUUGAAACUCAAAGGAAUUGACGGGGAC
Molecule: ribosomal RNA, 938 nt
Filed under: Staphylococcus aureus
Lineage: Bacteria; Bacillati; Bacillota; Bacilli; Caryophanales; Staphylococcaceae
Description: bacterial SSU rRNA
Rfam family: Bacterial small subunit ribosomal RNA
Source: RNAcentral